CCUACGGGUGGCAGCAGUGGGGAAUAUUGGACAAUGGGGGCAACCCUGAUCCAGCCAUGCCGCGUGUGUGAAGAAGGCCCUCGGGUUGUAAAGCACUUUCAGUGAGGAAGAACGCCUGGUGGUUAAUACCCAUCAGGAAAGACAUCACUCACAGAAGAAGCACCGGCUAACUCCGUGCCAGCAGCCGCGGUAAUACGGAGGGUGCGAGCGUUAAUCGGAAUUACUGGGCGUAAAGCGCGCGUAGGUGGCUUGAUAAGCCGGUUGUGAAAGCCCCGGGCUCAACCUGGGAACGGCAUCCGGAACUGUCAAGCUAGAGUGCAGGAGAGGAAGGUAGAAUUCCCGGUGUAGCGGUGAAAUGCGUAGAGAUCAGGAGGAAUACCAGUGGCGAAGGCGGCCUUCUGGACUGAAACUGACACUGAGGUGCGAAAGCGUGGGUAGCAAACAGGGUUAGAUACCCGAGUAGUC
This 465-nucleotide ribosomal RNA is filed under the name Vreelandella stevensii. Its description in RNAcentral is "partial 16S ribosomal RNA". It matches the Rfam family "Bacterial small subunit ribosomal RNA", at positions 338 to 795 of the family's 1533-position model. The record is from RNAcentral. Lineage: Bacteria; Pseudomonadati; Pseudomonadota; Gammaproteobacteria; Oceanospirillales; Halomonadaceae.